Molecule: ribosomal RNA, 497 nt
Filed under: uncultured bacterium
Lineage: Bacteria
Description: partial 16S ribosomal RNA
Rfam family: Bacterial small subunit ribosomal RNA
Source: RNAcentral
GACGAACGCUGGCGGCGUGCCUAAUACAUGCAAGUUGAGCGCUGAAGGUUGGUACUUGUACCAACUGGAUGAGCAGCGCACGGGUGAGUAACGCGUGGGGAAUCUGCCUUUGAGCGGGGGACAACAUUUGGAAACGAAUGCUAAUACCGCAUAAAAACUUUAAACACAAGUUUUAAGUUUGAAAGAUGCAAUUGCAUCACUCAAAGAUGAUCCCGCGUUGUAUUAGCUAGUUGGUGAGGUAAAGGCUCACCAAGGCGAUGAUACAUAGCCGACCUGAGAGGGUGAGCGGCCACAUUGGGACUGAGACACGGCCCAAACUCCUACGGGAGGCAGCAGUAGGGAAUCUUCGGCAAGGGACGAAAGUCUGACCGAGCAACGCCGCGUGAGUGAAGAAGGUUGUCGGAUCGUAAAACUCUGUUGGUAGAGAAGAACGUUGGUGAGAGUGGAAAGCUCAUCAAGUGACGGUAACUACCCAGAAAGGGACGGCUAACUACGUG